UAGCACUCCCCCAGCAGGACGGGCUCUGAGUUCUGUACCCGCCCCUUUGCAGCACCCCCACCAGUUCCCCAACCUGGCAAGCAAGCUUUCCUCCUCUGCCUUCUCCCUGCACCCACACAUUCUUCCAAACGACAACAACUCCAGGACCUCAGAGCUGCAAAGUUUGCCAGUAGAAGCCCUGCAGCUGUUGUCAGAGAGCCGAAGAUCACGGUUACAGAAGAUUUCUGAAUGUUUUAUUCCUCCCCUCUCUGAGCCUCGGGGUGGCCUGGUUUAUAAGAACUAUCUGGAAUUCUGGAAGAAACCUCUCACCCUUAUUUCUGCUGUGGCUUUAUGCUGGUUUUGUCCAGUGAACCUACUAUUCUCUAAGGAACCUGAAAACCUAGAUCCCAAAGAAAAUAAAGUCAUCAUUUUGAAGUGUGCUGUUCUUUUGAAGCUCAAACUGGGGUCCACGGGAAACCACUGAUUUUACAGCAAUUUCUCCACUUAGGUAAAAUAUUUACCUGAUUAUUUAUAUGAAGUUAGAAUCAGGUUUCAAAGGUGUUCCUGGGAUGAAAACAUAAUUUUACAUGAUGUGUUUAUUUGAUGAUACAACUUCAUGAGAUAAAUGGCUUAUGAGAAGAAGUUGUAGCAUUUCAUCUAAUUCUUCCUUUCUUUACACCAGGUCUUGAAUCUCCAAAAUUGCUUCCAUAUCAUAAAUACUACGUGAUGUAAACAAGUGGGUUUUUAGGCAUGAAAAUAUUCACCCCACAAUUUGGGUACAUCAUGGUCACCCCGAAAUUGUAUUUUCUCAGGAUUUCUCCAAUGGACAUCCA
Molecule: long non-coding RNA, 812 nt
Filed under: Mustela putorius furo (domestic ferret)
Lineage: Eukaryota; Metazoa; Chordata; Mammalia; Carnivora; Mustelidae
Description: lncRNA (ENSMPUG00000023968.1)
Source: RNAcentral